UUUGUGUUACACAACACAAUCUCCUCUAAGUGAUAGUUGGCAGGCGCUAACUAGUAUUUAGAGGAGUUUUACAUUUCUUGCAAACACUGAUGUCCGGGUAACCCCUGAUAAAAUGGUUGCGAAAAAGUUUGAAAAAAGUCUUUACAGAAUUUUUUUAAAGAAUUUUUAGAUCUGGUUCUGUGUAGUUCUGUGUAUAUUUAUUUAGAGAGAGCACUGUGGAUCUGAGUUAGAUAGAGACAAAUUUUAGGAACAAGAGUCGAGUCGAAAUCGGUCACGUGUUAAAACGAUAGACAUGGAAAGGAAGCAUAACGGUAGAGUAAGAAAAGUGUUAAGAAUUUUGAAAAAUAUUGUUUUGUAGGUAGUAGAAGAAGAGUGUUAGGAGUAUUAAAUGGUUGAGGAAAAAUCGAAGCGGGAGCGAUGGAGUCACGUGACUAGCGCAUAGUUAAGAAAGCGAAAAAA
Molecule: unclassified non-coding RNA, 459 nt
Filed under: Scheffersomyces sp. YW34.2
Lineage: Eukaryota; Fungi; Ascomycota; Pichiomycetes; Serinales; Debaryomycetaceae
Source: RNAcentral